Molecule: long non-coding RNA, 649 nt
Organism: Salvia miltiorrhiza (redroot sage)
Lineage: Eukaryota; Viridiplantae; Streptophyta; Magnoliopsida; Lamiales; Lamiaceae
Exons: 2
Source: RefSeq, a predicted model, not a curated record
AAACUAAUUAUCUCUCCCCUUCAUUUUUUUUCUUACGCAGAUAUACUUUCCCCCACUCUCUCUCCCUACCGUCUCUCUCUCUUUCCUGUACUCCGGCUAGUGUCGCCGGCCCUCGCUGCCUCCGGCGCGGCGAGGCCGGCCUCUUCUCUUCCCCCUCCUUCUUUCCUCUUUUCCCUAUAUCUAAAUCCCCAAAUCAUAAAAUCUAAUUCCUAGGGUUUCUACCUCCCUUCCUCCCCUCUGGAAUUCGUCUCUCCGGCGAGGUCUGCCUCCACCACCGCCGUCUCCGUCGCGCCGCCGCCUCCUCUGUCUCAGUUUCAGGAAUCGACCGGCGUCGUCGUUGCUUGAGACGUCUUCGGCGCAACAGUCCUUUAUCAGCUCAAGAUCCUAUUUUUAUGAUUGUUUUCCUUAUUGCUUACUGGAAAGCUAAAGUUUUGAUAGAAGAAAGUAUACUGUUGUUAGUUAUGCUAUACUUAACUUGUUUGUUGUAGUUCGGUCCAUCUUCCCUAUUGCUAAUAGCAUUCUGUACAUGUAUUGAACAAAAGAAGACUACCUUCUUUGCUGUGAACUGCUGCCGGGAUGUUUGUAUUCUGAUGAAUAUUUGUUUGCUGUUGGGAAUUUGCAGAAUGGGGAAAAAUUGUUUCACGCUCAA